CCUACGGGGUGCAGCAGUGGGGAAUAUUGCACAAUGGGCGCAAGCCUGAUGCAGCCAUGCCGCGUGUGUGAAGAAGGCCUUCGGGUUGUAAAGCACUUUCAGCGGGGAGGAAGGCGGUGAGGCUAAUAACCUCAUCGAUUGACGUUACCCGCAGAAGAAGCACCGGCUAACUCCGUGCCAGCAGCCGCGGUAAUACGGAGGGUGCAAGCGUUAAUCGGAAUUACUGGGCGUAAAGCGCACGCAGGCGGUCUGUCAAGUCGGAUGUGAAAUCCCCGGGCUCAACCUGGGAACUGCAUUCGAAACUGGCAGGCUAGAGUCUUGUAGAGGGGGGUAGAAUUCCAGGUGUAGCGGUGAAAUGCGUAGAGAUCUGGAGGAAUACCGGUGGCGAAGGCGGCCCCCUGGACAAAGACUGACGCUCAGGUGCGAAAGCGUGGGGAGCAAACAGGAUUAGAUACCCGGGUAGUC
RNAcentral lists this ribosomal RNA (465 nucleotides) under uncultured Klebsiella sp. Its description in RNAcentral is "bacterial SSU rRNA". It matches the Rfam family "Bacterial small subunit ribosomal RNA", at positions 338 to 795 of the family's 1533-position model. The record is from RNAcentral. Lineage: Bacteria; Pseudomonadati; Pseudomonadota; Gammaproteobacteria; Enterobacterales; Enterobacteriaceae.